This 253-nucleotide ribosomal RNA is filed under the name uncultured bacterium. RNAcentral's name for it is "partial 16S ribosomal RNA". It matches the Rfam family "Bacterial small subunit ribosomal RNA", at positions 524 to 779 of the family's 1533-position model. The record is from RNAcentral.
GACGAACCGUGCGAACGUUAUUCGGAAUCACUGGGCUUAAAGCGCGUGUAGGCGGGAGGGCACGUCCGUUGCUGAAAUCCCCGGCUCAACCGGGAACGGGCGCGGAUACGACUCUCCUUGAGGGCGUAGGGGACCUGGAACUUCCGGUGGAGCGGUGAAAUGCGUUGAGAUCGGAAGGAACGCCCGUGGCGAAAGCGAGGUCCUGGACGCCUACUGACGCUGAGACGCGAAAGCCAGGGGAGCGAACGGGAUU